This 253-nucleotide ribosomal RNA is filed under the name uncultured bacterium. RNAcentral describes it as "partial 16S ribosomal RNA". It matches the Rfam family "Bacterial small subunit ribosomal RNA", at positions 524 to 776 of the family's 1533-position model. The record is from RNAcentral.
UACGGGGGAUGCAAGCGUUAUCCGGAAUCAUUGGGCGUAAAGCGCCUGUAGGUUGUUUAAUAAGUCCGUUGUUAAAGACUAGGGCUCAACCCUAGAGCAGCAAUGGAAACUACUAGACUAGAGUAUGGCAGGGGUAGAGGGAAUUUCUAGUGUAGCGGUGAAAUGCGUAGAUAUUAGAAAGAACACCAGCGGCGAAAGCGCUCUACUGGACCAUUACUGACACUCAGAGGCGAAAGCUAGGGUAGCAAAAGGG